RNAcentral lists this ribosomal RNA (724 nucleotides) under Klebsiella oxytoca. RNAcentral's name for it is "bacterial SSU rRNA". It matches the Rfam family "Bacterial small subunit ribosomal RNA", at positions 70 to 788 of the family's 1533-position model. Lineage: Bacteria; Pseudomonadati; Pseudomonadota; Gammaproteobacteria; Enterobacterales; Enterobacteriaceae. The record is from RNAcentral.
CACAGAGAGCUUGCUCUCGGGUGACGAGUGGCGGACGGGUGAGUAAUGUCUGGGAAACUGCCUGAUGGAGGGGGAUAACUACUGGAAACGGUAGCUAAUACCGCAUAACGUCGCAAGACCAAAGAGGGGGACCUUCGGGCCUCUUGCCAUCAGAUGUGCCCAGAUGGGAUUAGCUAGUAGGUGGGGUAACGGCUCACCUAGGCGACGAUCCCUAGCUGGUCUGAGAGGAUGACCAGCCACACUGGAACUGAGACACGGUCCAGACUCCUACGGGAGGCAGCAGUGGGGAAUAUUGCACAAUGGGCGCAAGCCUGAUGCAGCCAUGCCGCGUGUAUGAAGAAGGCCUUCGGGUUGUAAAGUACUUUCAGCGGGGAGGAAGGCGUUAAGGUUAAUAACCUUGUCAAUUGACGUUACCCGCAGAAGAAGCACCGGCUAACUCCGUGCCAGCAGCCGCGGUAAUACGGAGGGUGCAAGCGUUAAUCGGAAUUACUGGGCGUAAAGCGCACGCAGGCGGUCUGUCAAGUCGGAUGUGAAAUCCCCGGGCUCAACCUGGGAACUGCAUUCGAAACUGGCAGGCUGGAGUCUUGUAGAGGGGGGUAGAAUUCCAGGUGUAGCGGUGAAAUGCGUAGAGAUCUGGAGGAAUACCGGUGGCGAAGGCGGCCCCCUGGACAAAGACUGACGCUCAGGUGCGAAAGCGUGGGGAGCAAACAGGAUUAGAUACCCU